RNAcentral lists this ribosomal RNA (253 nucleotides) under uncultured bacterium. Its description in RNAcentral is "partial 16S ribosomal RNA". It matches the Rfam family "Bacterial small subunit ribosomal RNA", at positions 524 to 776 of the family's 1533-position model. The record is from RNAcentral.
UACGGAGGGUGCAAGCGUUAUCCGGAUUUACUGGGUUUAAAGGGUGCGCAGGCGGUUAUGUAAGUCAGUGGUGAAAUCUCCGGGCUUAACCCGGAAACUGCCGUUGAUACUAUAUAUCUUGAAUGCUGUGGAGGUAAGCAGAAUAUGUCAUGUAGCGGUGAAAUGCUUAGAGAUGACAUAGAAUACCUAUUGCGAAGGCAGCUUACUACGCAGAUAUUGACGCUCAUGCACGAAAGCGUGGGGAUCAAACAGG